Molecule: ribosomal RNA, 841 nt
Filed under: Gautieria morchelliformis
Lineage: Eukaryota; Fungi; Basidiomycota; Agaricomycetes; Gomphales; Gomphaceae
Description: partial large subunit ribosomal RNA
Rfam family: Eukaryotic large subunit ribosomal RNA
Source: RNAcentral
AGCGGGAUGAGCUCAAAUUUGUAAUCUGGCGGCCUUUGGCUGUCCGAGUUGUAGUCUGGAGAAGCGUUUUCCGCGUCGGACCGUGUACAAGUCCCUUGGAACAGGGCGUCGUAGAGGGUGAGAAUCCCGUCUUUGACACGGACUGCCGAUGCUUUGUGAUGCGCUCUCGAAGAGUCGAGUUGUUUGGGAAUGCAGCUCAAAACGGGUGGUAAAUUCCAUCUAAAGCUAAAUACGGGCGAAAGACCGAUAGCGAACAAGUACCGUGAGGGAAAGAUGAAAAGCACUUUGGAAAGAGAGUUAAACAGUACGUGAAAUUGUUGAAAGGGAAACGCUUGAAGUCAGUCGCGUCUCCUGGGACUCAGCCUUGCUUCUGCUCGGUGUACUUCCUGGGGUUGACGGGCCAGCAUCGAUUUUGACCGUCGGAGAAAGGCCUUGGGAACGUGGCACCCUUUGGGUGUGUUAUAGCCCUCGGUCGUAUGCGACGGUUGGGAUCGAGGACCGCAGCAUGCCUUUUUGGCCGGGGUUCGCCCACGUACGUGCUUAGGAUGCUGGCGUAAUGGCUUUAAGCGACCCGUCUUGAAACACGGACCAAGGAGUCUAACAUGCCUGCGAGUGUUUGGGUGGUAAACCCGGACGCGCAAUGAAAGUGAAACGUUGGGACCUCUGUCGUGGAGGGCACCGACGCCCGGACCAGACCUUUUGUGACGGUUCCGAGGUAGAGCAUGCAUGCUGGGACCCGAAAGAUGGUGAACUAUGCUUGAGUAGGGUGAAGCCAGAGGAAACUCUGGUGGAGGCUCGUAGCGAUUCUGACGUGCAAAUCGAUCGUCGAACUUGAGUAUAG